This 102-nucleotide small nuclear RNA is filed under the name Fukomys damarensis (Damara mole-rat). Lineage: Eukaryota; Metazoa; Chordata; Mammalia; Rodentia; Bathyergidae. The record is from RNAcentral.
GUGCUCACUUUGGCAGCACACGUACUAAACUGGAACAACACAGAGAUUAGAGCGGCUCUGGGCAAGGAUGACGCGCAAAUUCCUGAAGCUCUCCAUAAAAAA